UUUUCAUGAUGAUAAACUAUUUUUACCAGUUCUGCUACUGAACCACUGUGAUCAGAGGACCAAAUACCAAACUUGCUGAAAU
Anopheles christyi is the source of this 82-nucleotide non-coding RNA. Lineage: Eukaryota; Metazoa; Arthropoda; Insecta; Diptera; Culicidae. The record is from Rfam.